GGAAUAACAGUCCUAUAUUUGGUCAACGUUGGCGUGGAAUCCAAGCAAAAAGGACAAACACCCAAAAAAUGCGGAAUUCCAAAACCUUUGAAUUUUUCAUGCGGACGCCCACCGGAACGGCGCUAUUAUUACAACUCAACAGAGCAAAAAUGCAGACUCAUACACUAUACGCCUUGCAAAAUAGCCAAUGUUUUUAAGAGGCUUCCGGACUGCCUAAAGACCUGCGCACCGGAUUCACAGUGCAUUAAACCACCAAUAUGGUCAAACAGAAGCGGGAAGAAUUACUACUACACAUUUUUAGCUGCAGAACGCACUUGUUUACUACAAAAAGGAAUCUUUUAUUCCGAAGAUCCAAAGAAGAACGCU
Molecule: non-coding RNA, 366 nt
Organism: Dermacentor albipictus
Lineage: Eukaryota; Metazoa; Arthropoda; Arachnida; Ixodida; Ixodidae
Source: RefSeq, a predicted model, not a curated record